UACGAAGGGAGCUAGCGUUGUUCGGAAUCACUGGGCGUAAAGCGCACGUAGGUGGACAGUUAAGUCAGGGGUGAAAGCCCGAGGCUCAACCUCGGAAAUGCCUCUGAUACUGGCUGUCUCGAGUCCGGAAGAGGUAGGUGGAAUUCCUAGUGUAGAGGUGAAAUUCGUAGAGAUUAGGAAGAACACCGGUGGCGAAGGCGGCCUACUGGUCCGGUACUGACACUGAGGUGCGAAAGAGUGGGGAGCAAACAGG
This 253-nucleotide ribosomal RNA is filed under the name uncultured bacterium. Its description in RNAcentral is "partial 16S ribosomal RNA". It matches the Rfam family "Bacterial small subunit ribosomal RNA", at positions 524 to 776 of the family's 1533-position model. The record is from RNAcentral.